GGCGAUAUCGUCUAGUGGUUAGGACGUUCGGUUUUGACGCGAACAUUUUCCGAAUAACUUGGGUUCAAUCCCCAAUAUCGCCU
This is a non-coding RNA of Kwoniella sp. DSM 27419, 83 nucleotides long. The record is from the annotation of a GenBank genome assembly. NCBI's taxonomy places the organism in Eukaryota, Fungi, Basidiomycota, Tremellomycetes, Tremellales, Cryptococcaceae.